GAUGAACGCUAGCGGCAGGCCUAAUACAUGCAAGUCGAGGGGUAGUGGUUGCUUGCAACCAUGAGACCGGCGCACGGGUGCGUAACGCGUAUGCAACCUACCUUCAUCAGGGGGAUAGCCCGGAGAAAUCCGGAUUAACACCGCAUAAAACCACAGUACCGCAUGGUACAAUGGUCAAACAUUCAUGGGAUGGAGAUGGGCAUGCGUGACAUAGUCUAGUU
RNAcentral lists this ribosomal RNA (221 nucleotides) under uncultured bacterium. Its description in RNAcentral is "partial 16S ribosomal RNA". It matches the Rfam family "Bacterial small subunit ribosomal RNA", at positions 28 to 250 of the family's 1533-position model. The record is from RNAcentral.